UCCGGUUUGUCACCGGCAGUCUGGUGUGAGUCCCCAACUUAAUGCUGGCAACACACCACGGGGGUUGCGCUCGUUGCGGGACUUAACCCAACAUCUCACGACACGAGCUGACGACAGCCAUGCACCACCUGUAUACGAGUGUCCAAAGAGACCCCCAUCUCUGGGGGCUUCCCGUAUAUGUCAAACCCAGGUAAGGUUCUUCGCGUUGCAUCGAAUUAAUCCGCAUGCUCCGCCGCUUGUGCAGGCCCCCGUCAAUUCCUUUGAGUUUCAUUCUUGCGAAAGUACUCCCCAGGUGGGUUACUUAUCACUUUCGCUUAGCCACUCAGUCUUACGACCAAACAGCUAGUAACCAUCGUUUACGGCGUAGACUAC
RNAcentral lists this unclassified non-coding RNA (372 nucleotides) under uncultured bacterium. RNAcentral describes it as "contains 16S-23S intergenic spacer region". The record is from RNAcentral.